Molecule: non-coding RNA, 123 nt
Filed under: Mycobacterium sp.
Lineage: Bacteria; Bacillati; Actinomycetota; Actinomycetes; Mycobacteriales; Mycobacteriaceae
Description: SAH sequence
Rfam family: SAH (S-adenosyl-L-homocysteine) riboswitch aptamer
Source: RNAcentral
CUGGUCGAGAGGCGUUGCAACGGAUAUUUUCGGGGGUCCUGGGCCCCUGGUAUCCGCCACGCUCGGCAGAGUCAAGGACGCCUUCCGCUACGGAAGGACGUACGUGAACGGCGCUGAAUCAGA